Molecule: ribosomal RNA, 428 nt
Filed under: uncultured bacterium
Lineage: Bacteria
Description: bacterial SSU rRNA
Rfam family: Bacterial small subunit ribosomal RNA
Source: RNAcentral
AACGAACGCUGGCGGCAGGCUUAACACAUGCAAGUCGAACGCCCCGCAAGGGGAGUGGCAGACGGGUGAGUAACGCGUGGGAACGUACCUUUCAGUUCGGAAUAAACUCAGGGAAACUUGUGCUAAUACCGGAUACGCCCGCAAGGGGAAGAUUUAUCGCUGAAAGAUCGGCCCGCGUUGGAUUAGCUAGUUGGUGGGUAAAGGCCUACCAAGGCGACGAUCCAUAGCUGGUCUGAGAGGAUGAUCAGCCACACUGGGACUGAGACACGGCCCAGACUCCUACGGGGGCAGCAGUAGGGAAUUUCGGCAAUGGGCGAAAGCCUGACCGAGCGACGCCGCGUGAGGGACGAAGGCCUUCGGGUUGUAAACCUCUGUCUGGGGGGAUGAGAACGGACGGUACCCCGGAGGAAGCCCCGGCUAACUACGUG